This 418-nucleotide ribosomal RNA is filed under the name uncultured bacterium. RNAcentral describes it as "bacterial SSU rRNA". It matches the Rfam family "Bacterial small subunit ribosomal RNA", at positions 974 to 1387 of the family's 1533-position model. The record is from RNAcentral.
CCUACCCUUGACAUGUCAGGAAGUCCGCAGAGAUGUGGAUGUGCUCGAAAGAGAACCUGAACACAGGUGCUGCAUGGCUGUCGUCAGCUCGUGUCGUGAGAUGUUGGGUUAAGUCCCGCAACGAGCGCAACCCUUGUCAUUAGUUGCUACGAAAGGGCACUCUAAUGAGACUGCCGGUGACAAACCGGAGGAAGGUGGGGAUGACGUCAAGUCCUCAUGGCCCUUAUGGGUAGGGCUUCACACGUCAUACAAUGGUCGGUACAGAGGGCUGCCAACCCGCGAGGGGGAGCUAAUCCUUUAAAACCGAUCGUAGUCCGGAUUGUAGUCUGCAGCUCGACUGCAUGAAGUCGGAAUCGCUAGUAAUCGCGGAUCAGAAUGUCGCGGUGAAUACGUUCCCGGGUCUUGUACACACGCAAUC